UGAGGAAUAUUGGUCAAUGGGCGAGAGCCUGAACCAGCCAAAUCGCGUGAAGGAAGNCUGCCUUAUGGGUUGUAAACUUCUUUUAUACAGGAAUAAAAAAGGGGACGUGUCCCUUAUUGCAUGUACUGUAUGAAUAAGCAUCGGCUAACUCCGUGCCAGCAGCCGCGGUAAUACGGAGGAUGCGAGCGUUAUCCGGAUUUAUUGGGUUUAAAGGGUGCGCAGGCGGGCUUUUAAGUCAGCGGUGAAAUCUCGGGGCUUAACUCCGAAACUGCCGUUGAAACUGGGAGUCUUGAGUAUGGAUGAAGUAGGCGGAAUUCGUUGUGUAGCGGUGACAUGCUUAGAUAUAACGAGGAACUCCGAUUGCGUAGGCAGCUUACUAAGCCAUAACUGACGCUCAAGCACGAAAGCGUGGGGAUCAAACAGAUUAGAUACCCUGGUAGUCACGCCGUAAACGAUGUUACUAGUUGUAUGCGAUAUACCGUAUGUGACUAAGCGAAAGCGAUAAGUAAU
Molecule: ribosomal RNA, 510 nt
Filed under: uncultured bacterium
Lineage: Bacteria
Description: partial 16S ribosomal RNA
Rfam family: Bacterial small subunit ribosomal RNA
Source: RNAcentral